AUACGUAGGUGACAAGCGUUAUCCGGAUUUACUGGGCGUAAAGGGCGUGUAGGCGGUCUUGCAAGUCAGAAGUGAAAUUCCUGAGCUCAACUCGGGCGCUGCUUCUGAAACUGCAGGACUUGAGUGCUGGAGGGGAUAGCGGAAUUCCUAGUGGAGCGGUAAAAUGCGCAGAUAUUAGGAAGAACACCGGUGGCGAAGGCGGCUAUCUGGACAGUAACUGACGCUGAGGCGCGAAAGCGUGGGGAGAAAACAGGAUUAGAUACCCUGGUUGUCCGCGCUGUAAACGAUGAAUACUAGGUGUGGGGGGACUGACCCCGUCCGUGCCGCAGUUAACACAAUAAGUAUUCCACCUGGGGAGUACGAUCGCAAGAUUGAAACUCAAAGGAAUUGGCGAGG
Molecule: ribosomal RNA, 396 nt
Filed under: uncultured bacterium
Lineage: Bacteria
Description: partial 16S ribosomal RNA
Rfam family: Bacterial small subunit ribosomal RNA
Source: RNAcentral